CUCAGAUGCUCUGCCGUGAGCACCGGUAAAGCUCAGGCCUUUCCCCCGGUCAUGAGCAGCAUGCUUGCCUGGAGCUCAGUGACAAAUACAGAUGACCAACAGACGGUCUUAAUGGGAGCAGAGCACAGAGCACAGAGCACAGACACAUACCCUUCAGGACCAGAGGAUCACUCACCCUGGUGCCCUGUGGCCAAUCCUUCAGGUUUGGAAGCAGAUUCUCUUCCUGUGCCUCAGGUCCAGCCCGCCCUUCUGCCUGGCAUAUCAGUGCCUACACCUCAGGCCGGUGCCCAGCCAGCGAGGUGCCACAGAACCACUGCCCAGGCUCUCAGUGCCUGUGUGGCCAGUGUUCUUCCAUACCUCAGAACACUCCGUGGGGAUUGUAUUUCACCAGUGAGGAAAGUCGAGGGAUGUCAUCUGACUUCCUCUGCAGUCUUUUCUUGGGUCCAGGAUGUCCCCAUCAUGGAACAGGAUGGACCCAACUGUAGCUAUUGCCAGAAGAAAGAUCUUAACCUCCAGAAUGGAGGGCACCCUUGUCCCUGAGCUGCCUUAGAAAUGGCCCACACUCCUGAUGACUUCUGGCCCCAGGUCUCUGCAUGCGUUGAACAGAACUCACCAUGCAAACACUUGGAUUUGUCCCCAACUUUAUCUGAGUUCCUCAAAAGAGAGGUUUCAGCAGUGGUGGAGCACCUGAAGGUGUCUGUGGUGCUCACUCUCUGGCACCUCCGUCCUCCCUGUGAGGGU
This 741-nucleotide long non-coding RNA is filed under the name Rattus norvegicus (Norway rat). RNAcentral describes it as "long non-coding RNA NONRATT017285". The record is from RNAcentral. Lineage: Eukaryota; Metazoa; Chordata; Mammalia; Rodentia; Muridae.